ACCGGGGUUGCGGACAGUGUCUGGUGGGUAGUUUGACUGGGGCGGUCUCCUCCUAAAGAGUAACGGAGGAGCACGAAGGUUGGCUAAUCCUGGUCGGACAUCAGGAGGUUAGUGCAAUGGCAUAAGCCAGCUUGACUGCGAGCGUGACGGCGCGAGCAGGUGCGAAAGCAGGUCAUAGUGAUCCGGUGGUUCUGAAUGGAAGGGCCAUCGCUCAACGGAUAAAAGGUACUCCGGGGAUAACAGGCUGAUACCGCCCAAGAGUUCAUAUCGACGGCGGUGUUUGGCACCUCGAUGUCGGCUCAUCACAUCCUGGGGCUGAAGUAGGUCCCAAGGGUAUGGCUGUUCGCCAUUUAAAGUGGUACGCGAGCUGGGUUUAGAACGUCGUGAGACAGUUCGGUCCCUAUCUGCCGUGGGCGCUGGAGAACUGAGGGGGGCUGCUCCUAGUACGAGAGGACCGGAGUGGACGCAUCACUGGUGUUCGGGUUGUCAUGCCAAUGGCACUGCCCGGUAGCUAAAUGCGGAAGAGAUAAGUGCUGAAAGCAUCUAAGCACGAAACUUGCCCCGAGAUGAGUUCUCCCUGACUCCUUGAGAGUCCUGAAGGAACGUUGAAGACGACGACGUUGAUAGGCCGGGUGUGUAAGCGCAGCGAUGCGUUGAGCUAACCGGUACUAAUGAACCGUGAGGCUUAACCUUACAACGCCGAAG
This 705-nucleotide ribosomal RNA is filed under the name Escherichia coli. RNAcentral's name for it is "partial 23S ribosomal RNA". It matches the Rfam family "Bacterial large subunit ribosomal RNA", at positions 2238 to 2925 of the family's 2925-position model. The record is from RNAcentral. Lineage: Bacteria; Pseudomonadati; Pseudomonadota; Gammaproteobacteria; Enterobacterales; Enterobacteriaceae.